This 437-nucleotide long non-coding RNA is filed under the name Fragaria vesca (wild strawberry). RNAcentral's name for it is "long non-coding RNA (FVES_LNC004469)". Lineage: Eukaryota; Viridiplantae; Streptophyta; Magnoliopsida; Rosales; Rosaceae. The record is from RNAcentral.
UUUCAUUCAGAUAAGGAAACUAUUUAUUGUUAUUAUUAUUAUAUUUUUAGGUUAUUUAUUAAUUAAGAAAACUAAACAAACUGAAAUUUUUAAAUUAAGUGUGAUGACAUGGUAGAUGCCACGUAGGAUGCCACGUAAUUUGGUAUUAGAUUUUGGUAUAACUUUUUGGUGGACGUAGCAGAACUCAUUUAAUAAUGGGUAAAUAACACUAAAGUACCAUUUGAAGGUAAAAAUUAUAAAAAAAUCAUCAAUUGUUCCACAUGUUAAAAUGGUCACCCUAAAUGUUAUUAGAUGAUAAAAUAGUUACUUAAUUCUAUAUCAUAUGAUCUAAUGGUCAUUAUUAAGUAUCAAUUAUGAUAAAAAAGUACAUUUUUAAAUUUUAAGGUUUGACAAUUCUACCAUUUCUGUUAUAAACAUCAUUCUUUUCUCUCUUUCUG